GCGAAAGUGGCGAAACUGGUAGACGCCCUGGACUUAGGAUCCAGUGCCUUCGGGUGUGGGGGUUCGAAUCCCCCCUUUCGCACCA
Molecule: transfer RNA, 85 nt
Filed under: Alphaproteobacteria bacterium
Lineage: Bacteria; Pseudomonadati; Pseudomonadota; Alphaproteobacteria
Also listed under: 2 other names
Description: tRNA-Leu
Rfam family: tRNA
About the family: Transfer RNA (tRNA) molecules are approximately 80 nucleotides in length.
Source: RNAcentral